Molecule: ribosomal RNA, 2063 nt
Filed under: Escherichia coli O26:H11
Lineage: Bacteria; Pseudomonadati; Pseudomonadota; Gammaproteobacteria; Enterobacterales; Enterobacteriaceae
Description: bacterial LSU rRNA
Rfam family: Bacterial large subunit ribosomal RNA
Source: RNAcentral
UAACUGGAGGACCGAACCGACUAAUGUUGAAAAAUUAGCGGAUGACUUGUGGCUGGGGGUGAAAGGCCAAUCAAACCGGGAGAUAGCUGGUUCUCCCCGAAAGCUAUUUAGGUAGCGCCUCGUGAAUUCAUCUCCGGGGGUAGAGCACUGUUUCGGCAAGGGGGUCAUCCCGACUUACCAACCCGAUGCAAACUGCGAAUACCGGAGAAUGUUAUCACGGGAGACACACGGCGGGUGCUAACGUCCGUCGUGAAGAGGGAAACAACCCAGACCGCCAGCUAAGGUCCCAAAGUCAUGGUUAAGUGGGAAACGAUGUGGGAAGGCCCAGACAGCCAGGAUGUUGGCUUAGAAGCAGCCAUCAUUUAAAGAAAGCGUAAUAGCUCACUGGUCGAGUCGGCCUGCGCGGAAGAUGUAACGGGGCUAAACCAUGCACCGAAGCUGCGGCAGCGACGCUGAUGCGUUGUUGGGUAGGGGAGCGUUCUGUAAGCCUGCGAAGGUGUGCUGUGAGGCAUGCUGGAGGUAUCAGAAGUGCGAAUGCUGACAUAAGUAACGAUAAAGCGGGUGAAAAGCCCGCUCGCCGGAAGACCAAGGGUUCCUGUCCAACGUUAAUCGGGGCAGGGUGAGUCGACCCCUAAGGCGAGGCCGAAAGGCGUAGUCGAUGGGAAACAGGUUAAUAUUCCUGUACUUGGUGUUACUGCGAAGGGGGGACGGAGAAGGCUAUGUUGGCCGGGCGACGGUUGUCCCGGUUUAAGCGUGUAGGCUGGUUUUCCAGGCAAAUCCGGAAAAUCAAGGCUGAGGCGUGAUGACGAGGCACUGCGGUGCUGAAGCAACAAAUGCCCUGCUUCCAGGAAAAGCCUCUAAGCAUCAGGUAACAUCAAAUCGUACCCCAAACCGACACAGGUGGUCAGGUAGAGAAUACCAAGGCGCUUGAGAGAACUCGGGUGAAGGAACUAGGCAAAAUGGUGCCGUAACUUCGGGAGAAGGCACGCUGAUAUGUAGGUGAAGUCCCUCGCGGAUGGAGCUGAAAUCAGUCGAAGAUACCAGCUGGCUGCAACUGUUUAUUAAAAACACAGCACUGUGCAAACACGAAAGUGGACGUAUACGGUGUGACGCCUGCCCGGUGCCGGAAGGUUAAUUGAUGGGGUUAGCGCAAGCGAAGCUCUUGAUCGAAGCCCCGGUAAACGGCGGCCGUAACUAUAACGGUCCUAAGGUAGCGAAAUUCCUUGUCGGGUAAGUUCCGACCUGCACGAAUGGCGUAAUGAUGGCCAGGCUGUCUCCACCCGAGACUCAGUGAAAUUGAACUCGCUGUGAAGAUGCAGUGUACCCGCGGCAAGACGGAAAGACCCCGUGAACCUUUACUAUAGCUUGACACUGAACAUUGAGCCUUGAUGUGUAGGAUAGGUGGGAGGCUUUGAAGUGUGGACGCCAGUCUGCAUGGAGCCGACCUUGAAAUACCACCCUUUAAUGUUUGAUGUUCUAACGUUGACCCGUAAUCCGGGUUGCGGACAGUGUCUGGUGGGUAGUUUGACUGGGGCGGUCUCCUCCUAAAGAGUAACGGAGGAGCACGAAGGUUGGCUAAUCCUGGUCGGACAUCAGGAGGUUAGUGCAAUGGCAUAAGCCAGCUUGACUGCGAGCGUGACGGCGCGAGCAGGUGCGAAAGCAGGUCAUAGUGAUCCGGUGGUUCUGAAUGGAAGGGCCAUCGCUCAACGGAUAAAAGGUACUCCGGGGAUAACAGGCUGAUACCGCCCAAGAGUUCAUAUCGACGGCGGUGUUUGGCACCUCGAUGUCGGCUCAUCACAUCCUGGGGCUGAAGUAGGUCCCAAGGGUAUGGCUGUUCGCCAUUUAAAGUGGUACGCGAGCUGGGUUUAGAACGUCGUGAGACAGUUCGGUCCCUAUCUGCCGUGGGCGCUGGAGAACUGAGGGGGGCUGCUCCUAGUACGAGAGGACCGGAGUGGACGCAUCACUGGUGUUCGGGUUGUCAUGCCAAUGGCACUGCCCGGUAGCUAAAUGCGGAAGAGAUAAGUGCUGAAAGCAUCUAAGCACGAAACUUGCCCCGAGAUGAG